Molecule: ribosomal RNA, 301 nt
Filed under: uncultured bacterium
Lineage: Bacteria
Description: partial 16S ribosomal RNA
Rfam family: Bacterial small subunit ribosomal RNA
Source: RNAcentral
CAGCCGCCACGGUAAUACGAAGGGGGCUAGCGUUGUUCGGAUUUACUGGGCGUAAAGGGUGCGUAGGCGGAUUGUUAAGUCAGGGGUGAAAUCCCGAGGCUCAACCUCGGAACUGCCUUUGAUACUGGCGAUCUUGAGUAUGGAAGAGGUUAGUGGAAUUGCGAGUGUAGAGGUGAAAUUCGUAGAUAUUCGCAAGAACACCAGUGGCGAAGGCGGCUCACUGGACGCGUAUUGACGCUGAGGUACGAAAGCGUGGGGAGCAAACAGGAUUAGAUACCCCUGUAGUCCCUGUCUCUUAUAC